This 803-nucleotide long non-coding RNA is filed under the name Gallus gallus (chicken). Its description in RNAcentral is "long non-coding RNA NONGGAT009420". The record is from RNAcentral. Lineage: Eukaryota; Metazoa; Chordata; Aves; Galliformes; Phasianidae.
AGCGUGCAGGUGCCCCUUUUACACUUACUGGGCAGCGUGCACUUGUAGUACGUUGGAAUAUAGAGAUUGUUAAGCCUGGCCAAGAAGGCUGGUGGCACCCUGGCUUGUAGCAGUAGUGCAGCCAGCAGGAGCUGGGGGGGGGAUAGCCCAUCCCUCCACGUCCUCCUCACAAACAACAGUCAGACUUGCUCCCUGGGCAGUGGUGGCUCGGGGUCACCAUCCCUGGGGGUGUUCAGAUCCAUAAGCUGUGGCAUUGAGGGCUGUGCUCAGUGGGUAUGGUGGGUUGGAUCUGGGGACCUCAGAUUCUGGGUCUUUUCCAGCCUUAAGGAUUGUAUGGCACAACCCCUGGAGCAGCAUGUGUGAUGGAAGCAGUGCAGUUGUAACCCUACAGCUUUGGGGAGGGGUUGGUGCAGAUCUUUCCAACCUGAGUGUAACUGACUAUCUGCAAGGUGGAGUGAGGAAAAGGGAUUUUCUCCACCCAGCACUGCCCACUUGCCUUUUAAAACAGGAAAGAAGAAACUGGCUCAUGGAGAAAUGAAAUGCCUCAUUACUUCCUCAUGGUACUUGAUGCUGUGCAGCACUCUGUAACCACUGUCUGCAGGAAACAGCAGCAUGCAUCUCAUGGGAUUGUUGACAGUUGCACUUUAAAACAUAUAUCUGAGAAGUGAAGCAUUAGUGCGUGCCAGCUGAAGAGCCUGGAAUUCCAAAGAGAAAAUGUCAGAGCACAGACUGACUCCCCAGAGCAGUCUCCCAUACCCCUGAGCAGCUAGGCAGUGGAUCAGCAGGGAAGCACAAAGGUAAAG